UUUCUUAGUAGAACAGUAUUUUACUGUUCCAGAUCAAUGCUCCCAAUUUUGGCUUGUUUUCGCCUCUGUUGUCACCUCUUCAAAUUUCUUCACAAAUGCCUAGGUGACUUAAGUUGAUGCAAUUGUUGGAGAAUCUGUUUAUUUCAGUCGCUGAAGCAACAACAAGACAACAUGCUACUGUUCUUCUUGCUUUUUGGCGCUUCUCUACCGUUCUUUCAUUGUGUCGAAAAAACACCAAACCAGCUAACGAGCGAAGAUUUGCGUGUUCUGAACGAAACUAUAGAAAAAUUUGGACCCCCUCAAGACUACAAACAAUUGGGGUUGCCAGGCCCAGAAAUAGAAACUGCUAAAAUCAAACUUCUACAUAAGAAUAAAUUAGAAUCUGAUGAAGCAAAAAAUUAUACCUUGAGGAUUCGUACAAUAGCUCCAAGGUUUAGUUACAAUGGACGUUACGAAGAAUCUGUAAUACACAAAAUAAACGGUGGCUUCGAAGAGUUUCCAGUUAUUAAAGGCCAGUUUGGAGAACAUUUUCCUAGCAAUACCACUAGUGACGUAUUUUACAUCCGUACUAUUGGUUACACACUCGAUGAGAAAGGUUAUCGACAGUUCUUGUUGGAUCUUACUGCCGUUAAAAUAAUCCAAAAGCUUGCUCCCUCCCUGAUUAUUGAAGGCAUACCUAUCUCUUCUACCGUUCUUAUCACACUGACAGGAGGAAAUACGCUUGGAUAACUUUUAAGUUGUUUUGGAAUUGCACCAGAAUUAUUUUUUGUAAAAUAAAAUAAAAUUUUGGGAGAAAGGAAUAAAUAAAGAAAAAAUUCCAAAAGUUGAUAAAAAUAAACUAAAAAACAAAAAUGUGAAUUUAUAAGAACCCAAAAACAUAAAGAGAGCAAUUUAUCAUACACAAAAAACGAAAAACACUAAUGUAGAGACCAAUGUUUCGGAAUUUAUUUUAUUCCUUCUUCAGGUCAUCAAUUUGCAAAUUAUGACACGUGAGACCGGUAUAUUAAUAAUUAAUUAAAGCAAGAAAUUAGUUAGCUCUCUUAACAUUUACAAAAACCUAAUUGAAGGAAAUUUAUUAAAUAAACAAAUAAUUUGGAGAAAUACAUCAGUAAGUUACUCUUAUCAUUACACAAUAAAACUGGGAAAUCCUAGAUGACAAAAAAGGAUCAACCAAUUGGUAUACUAGGUGUUCCCAGUUUUAUGGCAAGGGCAAAAAUAAAUAUUUGUAGUUGAGUAAAAAAAUAAAUUAAUAGUCUAAAGUCUAAACGAUAAGGAAUUAUUUUGCAAAAUUUUUAAGGUAUUGCCAAUUUUACGAUUUUUUUUGUAAGUCAUUGAAGUAUGGCCAAUUUCCUCCAAUUUUUUGAACCGUAAUUGCAAAAAUUAAAUUGUGCCAAAGUUGAUAGGUUUCGAGUAAUUAACACUUUAAUAUUGGAGAACUAAAAGCUCGAAUAAUUUAUGGCGGGUUUUGUGGUAUUGUGGUGAUCAGGUCAGAAUUCCUUGACAAUAGACCGCUUUAAUUCGGAAUGAUUGUAAACAUCAUAGCGAACCUUUUUUUAUUGUCAGGGAAUUCUGACCUAAUCACCUAUUACCACAAAGCCUGCCACAAAUUAUUGAAGCAUUAUGAUCAUCAAUAUUAAAACGUUAAUUACUCAAAAUCUAUUAAUUUUCGUAUAAUUCUAUUUUACCAAUUACAACUCUAAAAACUGAAGAAAUAUGCCAAUAACUCAAACCAAAUUUUUACCAAAAUUGGUUUUAACCUAAAUUGGUUCUCACAGCAAUACGUUAAAAAUUUUGAACAACAUCAAAGAAUCAAAUGAUAGUAAUUUCCAACCGUAUAGACUAUUAUUUUUUUAUUUAACUCGACUAGAAAUAUUUAUUUUUGCCUUGGCCAUAAAACUUGGAACACCCAAUUCUUGUAGAAACGAUAAGUAGUUUUAAUUUUGUCUCAACUAAACAAACCGCACUGAAGGUGGCUCGGGACCGACGACCAGAUUAUAAUAAUCAGUGACAAAACCCGUUACACAAAGGAAGAAAUCCUCUCUUUACUUCAUUACUGCCAACUCGAAAAAAAUCCCACAUCUAAAAUGGAAAAAAAUCAUAACUAUCAUAAUAUUUUAAGACUUCUUUUAAUAUCUAAAUCCUAGAUUAUAAACACAAUUUUAAAACACGUUUCCCAUAUCAACGCGUUUUUACUAUUUAAAAACAUGCCUCCCAUAGCAAUUAAAUUUAAUAUAAAACACGUUUAAAUUAAAAAAAAAUUUAAAAAAUAAUUUAAAUUAGGACACGUUUUGUUCCAACAAAAAAAAUUGGAAUAACACUCGCUGACGCUCAAACUUUAAGCUUGUGUUUUCGCACUUGUAUUAUUAAUAACUAUAAACUUGGACAUUUGAUAUAUUCUCCUGUUUUAUUAUCUAUAAGCGUGACCUAAAUCAAUUUUUUGUGUAUGGACAGGACACCAAUAUUUUCAGCAUUUAUCUAUUUAAAAUCGAAAAUAAGGAUAUUUAGUUGUAUGUUCAGUAAAAUAAUAACCUAAUUGACGUAGAUUAUCUGUCAAGUGACGUAAACUGAUGCACUUUUGUGCAACAAUCUGUUUAUUCCACCCACGGAAGCAACAGCAAAACAACAUGAUUUUGUUUUACUUCAUAUUUGGAUUUUGUCUCAUUCCGGCCUUUAUUUGUGACGAAGAACCAACAAUUGAAGAUUUGCACGUACUAAACGUAACAAUAGCAAAAUAUGGUCCUCUCAAAAACUACCAACAGCUGGGUUUACCAGGCCCCGAAAUAAAAACUGACAAAAAUAAAUUUUCACUGGCGAAUAUAUUCGAAUCUGGUAAAGCGGAGAAUUAUACUUUGAGGGUUCGUACAAUAACUCCAGACUUCAGUUACAAUGCACGUUAUGAAGAAACCAAAUUGCAAAAAGUUAACGACAGUUUCGAGCAUUUUCCGGUAAUUAAAGGCCAGUUUGGAGAACAUUUUCUCAGAGAAGAUGGAGGUUUUUACAUUCGUACUAUUGGUUACGUUCUGGACGAUAAAGGGUUUCAUGAAUUUUUCUUGGAUCUUACCACAGCUGUAACACAGACAUUUCUUCCACUUUUGGGUACAGGCACUGUUCCUAUUUCUUCAACAGUACUUAUUACACUGAACGGAGGAAAUUCACUUGGCUAGAGCCUAACCUGUUUUGGAUUGAUCUUAUAAUAAAUAAACACAACACCCAGUUAUUUGUUUAUUUUUGCUCAUACAUUAAUUAGUGUGCAGACCAGUCGCUUGACAAGGUUUUUGCACUUGGUACAAGGUAAAGUUAUGAAGCUCUUAACUGGUUUGAUUUGUAUUGUAUUUAAACAGUGGAUAAGUUAACAUCAUGAAAUUGCUAAUCCUUGGUCACUUAUUCCUGUCCCUACAUUUUGGUAGAGGUGACAAUGAACCAAAUGCACCUAAACCGGAAGAAAUGGAUCAAGACUUGCGCGUAGUGAAUGAAACAAUCGCAAAAUACGGUCCUCCAAAAGAUUACAAAAUCUUCAAUUUACCGGGACCCGAAAUAUUGGUAGACGAUAACUUGCUGUUGCACCCAGUCAGGUUCAAUGUGUCAGCAAAUUCCGAAAACUAUACCAUUUGGAUUCGCACUGUGACGAAUAAUUUUAGUUACAAUAGCCGUUACGAACAAACCGAAUUGCAACACAUCGGCUUAGAAAGCUUUCCAGUGGUUAAAGGCCAGUUUGGUGAACACUUCAUACGCAAAAGUGGGAGUUUUUACAUUCGUACUAUUGGCUACGUACUGGACCGAAAUGGCUACCAGGAAUUUUUAAUAGAUAUUUCGAAAACUGAAACUACUGUGAAGGAAUUUGUUCCACCACUUGUUGAAAGUGACAUUUAUGUUGAUCGUCGUCCUCCAGGAAAAAUACAAAUUUCGUCGACAGUUUUGGCAACUUUGGUGGGAGGAAAUUCACUUGGAUAGAAACUGAGCUCUUUCGAAUUGUACUCAUCCAAUUUUAUGCAAAAUCAAAGAAAAUAAAUCCAAAUCUGUCCUCAA
Molecule: RNA transcript, 4026 nt
Organism: Tribolium castaneum (red flour beetle)
Lineage: Eukaryota; Metazoa; Arthropoda; Insecta; Coleoptera; Tenebrionidae
Exons: 8
Source: RefSeq, a predicted model, not a curated record